UGCCAGCUGCUUUUCCCACGACUGCAUUCAGAGAGAGAAUUGGACUCCGUCCAAUUGAUAUUUAUACAUAUUUGUUUGCUUGUGAUGCUGUUGCUUCGGAUGGUUUUUGUCUUAGUGGCGGGUCCGUGUAUGCAGAUGAAUCGGGUCAGCUGACCCGAGCUUUCCUUUUCUUUUUAACCCUUUCUGAGAUGCUGGCGAUGGAGGGAUCUUGGUGAAAAAAAAUGUUUUAUAUAAAAAGGAUAUUGGGACGUUUGCAGGUCUCGAUCUUCCUCCGGGCAGCUAGGCAGGCUCAAGCAUACUAAGGAUGAGAAGUUUCAUAAUUCGUCGCUGCUCUGAUUCCGGCUGCUCCGGGACUGUUUAACCAACUACAGCGACAUCCACCAUGGACGGGAAAGAGGUUUAUCUGAUCUCCUCAUUAGAGCCUUUGACGUCCCCGUGAAAGACUUGCACUUCUCCCAGGAUCGGCCACCACUUUGUUGCCCAAUGGGGCUGACGGCACAACAUGGAGAAGGUCAGCCCAAAGCAGAGGACGACGAAAAGGCCGAGUCUCCCACGGUCAAGGAGAAGAUCUCGGAAGAGACUUUACAGCAAAACGGGCCACUGGAGUACUCUAGCUGGCAAGUAUUGUCGUCUCCCGGUUGUCUUUCAUUCUACACAUUGUUGUAGGUAGCGAUGAAAUGAAGUCCUUCCAUAGUGUGCCCCCAAUUCUUAUGGAAGAGUCAAACAGCACCAAAUUCCAUCAACAUGCAGCUCUGUAUCCACCAGGCAUUGAGUUUUCUGUGGGAUUAUCCCACAUCUGGGAGACCUCCAGAGAAGGAGAGUCCACCACCUUCUGAGGUCCUUCCAAAUGUUAAGGAGGCAUCUCUUUUCUUGUCAUUUGAAUCCGUUGGUUUGUGUUCUAAUCUGGUAGUUCCCAAACUUGGGUCCUUCUAGUGUUUUGGACUUCAUCUCCCAGAAUGACUAACAGUUGGCCAAGUUUUCUGGAGGUUCGGGAAGCUGAAGUCUUAAAUACUUGAAAGACCAACAUUUGGGGACCAUUGUUCUAAACUCUGGAGCAGCCAAGAGAUAGUCCAAAAAGUGGUUCAUAACCUUUUGGUACUAAUGUUGGAGAGUGGACCAUGGUCGAAGUGGUCCCUGGUCAAAGUGGUCACUGGUCGAAGUUGUCCCUGGUCAAGUGGUUCUUGGUCAAAGUGGUCCAUGAUCAAGUGGUCCAUGGUCAAAGUGGUCCCUGGUUAAGUUGUCCCUGGUCAAGUGGUUCUUGGUCAAAGUGGUCCAUGGUUAAGUUGUUCUUGGUCAAAGUGGUCCAUGGUCAAGUGGUCCCUGGUUAAGUUGUCCCUGGUCAAGUGGUUCUUGGUCAAAGUGGUCCAUGGUUAAGUUGUUCUUGGUCAAAGUGGUCCAUGGUCAAAGUGGUCCCUGGUUAAAUUGUCCCUGGUUAAGUGGUUCUUGGUCAAAAUGGUCCAUGGUCAAGUUGUCCCUGGUUAAGUGGUUCUUGGUCGAAAUGGUCCCUGGUCGAAGUGGUCCAUGGUCAAGUGGUCCCUUGUUAAAUUGUUCCUGAUCAAGUGGUCCCUGGUCAAUGAGGUCCCUGGUCAAAAUGUUCCCUGGUCAAGUGUUCCCUCCUCAAAGAGUUCCGUGGUCAAAGAGGUCCCUGGUCAAAAAAAGGUUGGAAACUGAAGUUCUAAAGCAUGAAUGAGCAACUGACCCCCCCCCCCAAACCUUGAGGAUCCACACACCUCUUUGUGCUCAUCCACCCAAUUUUUAUAUUGAAAAAUUGGCAGGGGUCUCUCUGUGUCUCCUGAAGUUGACCUGUUGUGGUGGGAGAUUCGAAGAUGUUCUUGGGUCACACUUUCCCCGCUCCUGCUCUAUAAAAACACAGGUAGAUAAUGGUUGGUUUCCUGUGCAGGAUAUCAACGCACAGAUAGUUAAAAUACUGAUAUAAGACUGGCCUAUUUUUGGAUGUUCUCAGCAGGUAAUAAUUGCCACAUGGAACUGACUCAAAAUAAGGCCAGCCUUGAAUCCUAAUCAGAGCCGGCCCUAGGUAUUUUUCAAGUGUAGGCGAACAGAAUUUUGGCGCCCCCCCAAACCAAUCACUGAAAAAUAAAAGCGUUGGAUAAGCGAAAAUGUUGGAUAAUAAGGAAGUAUAAAGGAAAAGCCUAUAAAACAUCAAAUUACAUUAUGAUUUUAAAAAUUAAGCACCAAAACAUCAUGUUUUACAACAAAUCAAUAGAAAAAGCAGUUCAAUACAUGGUAAUGUUAUGUAGGAAUUACUAUAUUUGCAAAUUUAACACUAAACAUUGAACAGGGAUAUAGGGCAGUGUGGACUUAGAUAACCCAGAUAGCCCUCAGUAUUAAAAAAAACUCUAAAAUCAGGACAAUAAAUAAAGAACAACACUCUGAAAACAGAAGAAAUCCAGACAGUAAACAAUCAGGGACAGCUAACUCCUCCCAAAAAAGAUUCUCCCAGGCAAGAAGAAGCCAGGCCUUGAAGCCACAGGGCCAUUAAAUGCUAAUCAAGGUGAUUAAUUACAACAUCCACACCUGCUUCAAAGAAAAGUUCUUUCUCCCACCCUGGACCUUCUACAGAUAUAUAAACCCCACAUACCUAGCUUCCAAGUUCCUACAGACCUCACAAUCUCUGAAGGCCCCAAAGGAGGGCUCCCGUGGUGCGAAGGUGGGUCUGCGCCGGCCGGAAGGCCCGAAAGAGAAGGAGGUGGAGAGUGGUGCCCUCCUCCCAGGACGAUGGUGCCCCCGGGACGAUGGCGCCACAGGCAAAUGCCUAUUUCGCCUUAUGGUUGGACCGCCUCUGAUCCUAAUGGCCGAGUCAGUGACUGUCAUAUUAUCCAUCAAUAGUGUCCCUUAGAAGGAUUCGUAGCAAUUUCCACUGCAUAUUGCCACCCUUUACUUCCAUAUUCAUCUACACAAUCUUGCAAUAGUUCUCUAGAUUUCAGCCCCAUCUGGGGACCGAAUCUGGGACAGGUAUGUGCACAGGUGUGCAACCGGAUACUUUCCUUGUGAUUUAUGUUCACUUUUAUGCAUCGUUUGAUUUAUGUAUUUAUUUUUAUCUUUGGCAUCGCUUUCCCCUAGGGUUGGAGUAAUUAAAUGCCUGGAAUGGUUAAAUGGGGAUUAAAGAUGCAAGUGAAUCAAAACAAAAAUGAAUAAUGGACCGAGUUUAGGAAUUUCGCAACGAGAUCCCGAGUGUAGGGUUGUUGUGCAUUUUCCGGGCUGUAUGGCCAUGUUCCAGAAGUACCGUAUAUACUCAAAGAUAAGCUUAGUUUUUCAGCCCUUAUUUAUAAGCUGAAAAAGCCUCCCUCGGCUUAAAAUUGGGUCAAGGUCAAGUCGGCAGCGG
Long non-coding RNA from Anolis carolinensis (green anole), 3343 nucleotides. RefSeq lists it as uncharacterized. NCBI's taxonomy places the organism in Eukaryota, Metazoa, Chordata, Lepidosauria, Squamata, Anolidae. The record is from RefSeq and is a predicted model, not a curated record. The transcript has 3 exons.